GAUGAACGCUAGCGGCAGGCUUAAUACAUGCAAGUCGUGGGGCAGCAUGAGUAGCAAUACUUGAUGGCGACCGGCAAACGGGUGAGGAACACGUACACAACCUUCCUUCAAGCGGGGAAUAGCCCAGAGAAAUUUGGAUUAAUACCCCAUAAAUAUAUUUGAUAAGGGCAUCUUAUUAAUAUUAAAGCUUCGGCACUUGAUGAUGGGUGUGCGGCUGAUUAGAUAGUUGGCGGGGUAACGGCCCACCAAGUCUACGAUCAGUAGCUGAUGUGAGAGCAUGAUCAGCCACACGGGCACUGAGACACGGGGCCCGACUCCUACGGGAGGCAGCAGUAAGGAAUAUUGGACAAUGGACGAAAGUCUGAUCCAGCCACGCCGCGUGAAGGAUUAAGGUCCUCUGGAUUGUAAACUUCUUUUAUAUGGGACGAAAAAGGGCAUUCUUGUUCACUUGACGGUACCAUAUGAAUAAGCACCGGCUAACUCCGUGCCAGCAG
This 494-nucleotide ribosomal RNA is filed under the name uncultured bacterium. RNAcentral describes it as "bacterial SSU rRNA". It matches the Rfam family "Bacterial small subunit ribosomal RNA", at positions 28 to 514 of the family's 1533-position model. The record is from RNAcentral.